This is a long non-coding RNA of Scylla paramamosain (green mud crab), 1771 nucleotides long. RefSeq lists it as uncharacterized. The record is from RefSeq and is a predicted model, not a curated record. The transcript has 4 exons. Lineage: Eukaryota; Metazoa; Arthropoda; Malacostraca; Decapoda; Portunidae.
CGCCACUGCCGCGUGGUUACAAGACAGCGGGCGGCCGCGUACUAGUUUCCUCAGUACUUGUGCGUCCGUAGCAAUACCGUGUGCUGUAAACUGAACGAAGAGACUCAUUCAGUUUUUGGUCGCCUCUCCAUUAUCUCGUGGUGACGUAAAGGUGACGGCCCGUGUGUUAGUUUCCCCGGUAAUUGUGCCUCCGUAACAUUACUGUGUGCAGUGGUCGUGAGAACUGCGGGGCGGCGGUGUAGACUGUGCCGUGGAGAGUCGCGGGGUGUUGGAAUCGCCUCCCAGUCUCCUUAAAGGCGUCAUAUUCCCUCCCUGCUCUGAUCGGUGUGUCUUCCUGUCGAUGUUGAGGGCGUGGGGGCGGGGCGGCCACAGUGCGCCCCUUCAUUGUGUUUAGACAGGAGGAGAGCGGCAUGGCAGCCUGCAAAAAAUAAGAUUAAAUAAGUGGCACCUCCGAGGCUGCGACAAUGCAGCCGUCUGUUCUUCACGUCAGCUACACGCAUAGCAGCACACCCGCGAGUCCCAUACAUUUUCAACUCCUCUGACGGGGAAACAAAGCCUUAAAAUGCAUAUGUGUAUAGAACAUUUCCUACUUAGAAUUGCACGUUCCUUCACCUCUUUCAGUAUUUGCAGAAACACGCGUUACACCUUUUAUACAGUGGACAACAAGCAAAACAACACCUACGUGUUCUGAAACGCUUCAUUUGUCUCACCACAUUUUUUUUUCUUUUCAAAUGAUGAUAGGUUCUGAAUAGCCGGGUUUUAAAUGCAUUUCCCCUGUUAAUAAUAUAGAAAUCGUGUUAAUCUGUCACUAGAACCAUAAAAACAUCUUUUGAAAACCUGUGCAACUUCAUUUAGAGUCUUAUCAGUUUAGUGGAGGUGCGGCGCAGAAGUGUUUCAGAAUAGGGAUCAUUGUCUCGUUUUCCCCCAACCUGGCGUCCCCGCUCGGCCCCUUCCACGACUCGCAGCGAGAGAGAGAGGUCGAGGUGCGGUGGUCUUGUGGCGGAAGCCUGAAGGAGGCGGUGAAGGAGUGAAGGUGUGAAGUGUGUGGCUUCCACUUCACCAUCCUAUGAACAGCCUGCAGGAAUCUCUAUCAACACCUGCUUCUGCAAUAUUGGCAUCUGGUUAUCAAAUAGUGCUGUCACGCUGGGCCUGACAUACUCCAUUGCAAUUGGGGAAUCAAGCUUCACCAGGAAGAGAGGCCGAGCAUCAUGACCUUCAAGCCUUCAAGCCCUACAAGAGGUGUUAAGUAUUGUCAGGACAAAACAGAGGGCCUGGUACAAGAGUUUUCAUUGCAAUCAAGGAAGAGUCAAGUUGCAGUAAGAAGAGUGUGGCAAGAAUUUUAAGCAGGAGGAAGACUGUCAAGCAGUUGACGGCAGGAAGAACGCGUGAAAUUCCCUUAAGUCGUGGCAGGACCAACAGGCAACCUUCAACACCUGCAGAGGCACAAGAGUUGUGGGCAGUUUCACCAGGAAGAGUUUGCUCCUCACUCAAGUUGACACAGACACAAGAAUUUGCAAGUGUUGUUACUCCGAGACCCUGCUGCAAAUGUUCUCCAAUCCACUCCAGUCUGGGAAGGAAGAAUGUAGGAAGUCCCUCUCUUCUGUACUCAACAAGCACCACCACCACCACCACCACCACCUUCAUUCAGGCUUGGGACAAGUUUUGUACAUUCCAGCACUUCAGUAUUAAAGAAAACAAGUGCCAUGUUUAUUAUCCUGUUGUGUAUUUAUUCACUUAACAUUCACAGUAAAACAAUAAACAUUCAGUAUUC